Capra hircus (goat) is the source of this 369-nucleotide long non-coding RNA. RefSeq lists it as uncharacterized. Lineage: Eukaryota; Metazoa; Chordata; Mammalia; Artiodactyla; Bovidae. The record is from RefSeq and is a predicted model, not a curated record. The transcript is spliced from 3 exons.
UCACAGAAGAUCAAAUAUGUACCACAAUCCGAGGGCUCAGAAACUGAAAUUCCCUGCUCAAAGGAUGACAAGCCUGCUUUUAGGGAUGGUUCCUGUGCUUUCCAGAAGCUCCUAAAACCCGGAAGUAAAAGAAGAGUGGAUAACAUGUACUGAGUGCUUUCAUGUGCACACAAAAGAGGCCAUAUUCCUGGAAGUGGAGAGCUAAUGCCAGUCUUAGCUGGGACCAUUAUUGGGAGUCUCAUUUCAUCUGCAAAAAGGGACAACGAUAGCCUUAAUUUAUAAGUUGUGAGGGCUGAGUUAAUAUAUGUAAAGCUCUUAAAAACAGACUUGGCAUGUAUUAAUUAAUAUUGUUAUUGUUGUUACUGUCAU